UCUGCUCCUUCUGGAAAGCCCUUUGAUGAUCAAUGUUUUUACUAAUGUGGGGCAACUGGCUUUCACUCUCUCCAUUCCCAUACCUUACCCAUCAGCAACUUCUUCGUCUUCUAAGAUUUCAUCGCCAUGGAGCAGAGCUUUCUCUUGGAACUUGCUGUUUAGCCCUUUUUUUUUUUUUUAACUGUACACUUUGCAAGAUUAACUUCAAAGAAUGUGAUUCCUAGAGCACAUCUUCGAACCUUUUUUAUGGGCAGGACAAACACGUGUGCCUCAUAUGGUCCAAACUACAGACACGUACCUCUUCAAACUCUUUCCCGUUCUCCAUCUAUUUUCUCUUCUAACACAGAGGAGUGCUCUGUAGACUAUUUGGUGAAAAGAGUUCCGAGGUAUAAACAUGCUCUGCCACAUUUAAUUUGAAUAUAGAAGGAACAAAACGAGAAGAAACUUAUACAAGAGCUUUGAUGCAGCUAAGAUGUUUGAAAAUAUGCCUUAAUUAGCUUAAACCAUGUAAUUUUGGAGAGAUCAACAUCCAUGAGGAAAUUGUCAUUAGUAAAUAUUUACAUCCCUAGACAUGAUAUUCUCAGAUGGUUAGCCCUUUUUUUUUUGGGGGGGGGGGGGGGGGGGGGUGUUAUGUUUAUCACUUUCUCUCAACCAAGACAAUUAUUGGACAAACAUAUUGAUAUAGACACUUUCGGAGAAGAACAACUGCCCAGUGAAAUUCCUUGUGGUAAGAAAUUAUUGAUUGUUCUGCGCAAACCGAAGUGUUUUCGCAUUACGUUCUAACAUAUAGUUGUUUUUUUAAAUAUCAGGCAGUUGCAUCUUGUGUAUUCUUUCUUAUUUUAGGGGCUGUAAAUUCUUACAGUUAUCUGCCCUAUUGUCUUCUUGAUAGGGCUUGCAAUGUCAGUUGUCGUUGCAUCUUUAUAUAAAUUUUGCGUGAUUCUUCUCAGUUAUAACCCAAUCAAGAAGGUAUCUCAAAUCAGAGACCGAGAAAUCUCAAACUCCUCAUUAUUGAAAGCCAUAAGUACAAUUUUCACUCCAGUCCAUCACUCUGCAAGAUGAUAUGCAUCAACCACUUUAUUUACCUGAAAACAGGGGCGUUUUUUCUUCGGCCUGUAAAGUGUCAUUUUUAUGAAUAAGUUGAGACUUGAAAGUUGAAUGUAAAUUACUCUAGACAUCAAGCUACAAAAAUGAACAACAGUGUCGGGCAUAUCCCAUGCUUUGCUUGAGAUGCAUGGAUUUCAUUAGAACUUCAUACUUCAAAAGUAUUGCAUGAAAGCUGAAAUUGGUGAGCAAAGUUGAAUCCUACGGGGUUAUGUCAAAAUGUUGGCCAUAUUUCUUUGUCGAUUUGAGGUAUCUAUGGAUGCUAUGUAAAACUGCGUAUGGUUACUUCUAAUUUGCGUUUAUUUUUUUAGGAAACAUAGGACUUGGAGCUGGAAGGGUGUGAAUCGGGGAGAAAAUCAUAAACAAGAUGUAUAUUCCAAGCAGUAGUUCAACAUAAUAUAACUGGGCCAAGAUUAAUCUAUUUGAGCAAGGAGAGAAACAGAAGAUUCUUUGCAGUCAUGUACACCCCCAAGCACCAUGAGAUGAAGAAUUUGCCAGAAAGUGAUGAUGCUUUUUCUGAUGUAGAGUUAUCUUCGCGGCCAAGGAAACAAACAUAGGACUUGGAACUGGAAGGGUGUGAAUCGGGGAGAAAAUCAUAAACAAGAUGUAUAUUCCAAGCAGUAGAGUUCAACAUAAUAUAACUGGGCCAAGAUUAAUCUAUUUGAGAAAGGAGAGAAACAGAAGAUUCUUUGCAGGUUCACAAAUUUUUCUAUGUAUUAGUUGAAGAACAUAAAAGGCUCAUUUCUCACUUGGAAGGCAUGUUCACACACUCCAGAGCUUUUCUUGUAUGGUUGUGGUAUCAUGUUCUUACAUGACUUUGAUAUUGGUAUUUGAUUCCUGCUCCAUUGUAAAGUAAUCUAAACUAUGGUCUUAUAACACAUCAAUCUAUUUUCUUGAUUAAAAAAAGGCAUCAAUCUAUUAAUAAAUUGCUGCCCAUAUACCAAAAUUUUGAGAGAGAACUGAUUAUCAUGAUAUUGGAGACGAAUGAGUACAAUAUAUAGACUUUUAGUAGCAAUUCUAAUGUGGUGUCUUGUCAGUUAGAUGUACAAAAAACCUGCAGUGUAUAGAAGUACAGAUAAACAAUAAGGGGAUUAAUGGAUAAAUUACUUUCCAAAACAAUAAAUAGCUACCUGAUCAUCUGUAAAUAUACCAUCAGUAUAUGUAGUACCAGUAUAACUUGGUAAGAAUCUCUAUAGUUGACCACUCCUUAAGUUAAUUUCUCCUUUUCAACUAUAUGAGAUACUAAUUAAUGCAAAAAGGAGCCAAUUGGUAAGUCAUCUUUUCAACACCAUUCAACUUGAUCCUUCUAUAGUUGAAGCUCGUUAUGGAUGGAAAGUCAACAUUCAUGAGAAGAAAUUGCUAAUUCUAUCAUUCUCUUCAUUUUAUGGAACAACUUAAUUUUUCUGAGAUGCUAUGACUUUCUGCCUGGAGAAGGCAUCCCAUUUCCUUUUAACCUUAUUGUACUUCAAUACUAUCUUGCAGAAGAUGAUUGCUAAAGUUAAGUAAAUUUGCAGGCUUUCCUAACUUUUGCAUGCUUACUACACAACACCUAUUCUGAUGCUUACCUUUCUUU
Lycium barbarum (goji berry) is the source of this 2674-nucleotide long non-coding RNA. RefSeq lists it as uncharacterized. The record is from RefSeq and is a predicted model, not a curated record. The transcript has 7 exons. Lineage: Eukaryota; Viridiplantae; Streptophyta; Magnoliopsida; Solanales; Solanaceae.